Molecule: ribosomal RNA, 1367 nt
Filed under: uncultured beta proteobacterium
Lineage: Bacteria; Pseudomonadati; Pseudomonadota; Betaproteobacteria
Description: bacterial SSU rRNA
Rfam family: Bacterial small subunit ribosomal RNA
Source: RNAcentral
UUGAACGCUGGCGGCAUGCCUUACACAUGCAAGUCGAACGGCAGCACGGGUGCUUGCACCUGGUGGCGAGUGGCGAACGGGUGAGUAAUACAUCGGAACAUGUCCUGUAGUGGGGGAUAGCCCGGCGAAAGCCGGAUUAAUACCGCAUACGAUCUACGGAUGAAAGCGGGGGACCUUCGGGCCUCGCGCUAUAGGGUUGGCCGAUGGCUGAUUAGCUAGUUGGUGGGGUAAAGGCCUACCAAGGCGACGAUCAGUAGCUGGUCUGAGAGGACGACCAGCCACACUGGGACUGAGACACGGCCCAGACUCCUACGGGAGGCAGCAGUGGGGAAUUUUGGACAAUGGGCGAAAGCCUGAUCCAGCAAUGCCGCGUGUGUGAAGAAGGCCUUCGGGUUGUAAAGCACUUUUGUCCGGAAAGAAAUCCUUGGCUCUAAUACAGUCGGGGGAUGACGGUACCGGAAGAAUAAGCACCGGCUAACUACGUGCCAGCAGCCGCGGUAAUACGUAGGGUGCGAGCGUUAAUCGGAAUUACUGGGCGUAAAGCGUGCGCAGGCGGUUUGCUAAGACCGAUGUGAAAUCCCCGGGCUCAACCUGGGAACUGCAUUGGUGACUGGCAGGCUAGAGUAUGGCAGAGGGGGGUAGAAUUCCACGUGUAGCAGUGAAAUGCGUAGAGAUGUGGAGGAAUACCGAUGGCGAAGGCAGCCCCCUGGGCCAAUACUGACGCUCAUGCACGAAAGCGUGGGGGAGCAAACAGGAUUAGAUACCCUGGUAGUCCACGCCCUAAACGAUGUCAACUAGUUGUUGGGGAUUCAUUUCCUUAGUAACGUAGCUAACGCGUGAAGUUGACCGCCUGGGGAGUACGGUCGCAAGAUUAAAACUCAAAGGAAUUGACGGGGACCCGCACAAGCGGUGGAUGAUGUGGAUUAAUUCGAUGCAACGCGAAAAACCUUACCUACCCUUGACAUGGUCGGAAUCCUGCUGAGAGGUGGGAGUGCCCGAAAGAGAACCGGCGCACAGGUGCUGCAUGGCUGUCGUCAGCUCGUGUCGUGAGAUGUUGGGUUAAGUCCCGCAACGAGCGCAACCCUUGUCCUUAGUUGCUACGCAAGAGCACUCUAAGGAGACUGCCGGUGACAAACCGGAGGAAGGUGGGGAUGACGUCAAGUCCUCAUGGCCCUUAUGGGUAGGGCUUCACACGUCAUACAAUGGUCGGAACAGAGGGUUGCCAACCCGCGAGGGGGAGCUAAUCCCAGAAAACCGAUCGUAGUCCGGAUUGCACUCUGCAACUCGAGUGCAUGAAGCUGGAAUCGCUAGUAAUCGCGGAUCAGCAUGCCGCGGUGAAUACGUUCCCGGGUCUUGUACUCACCGCC